GGAUGUAAGGGUGAUCUGGCUGCGACACCCGUCACCCCAUUGAUCGCCAGGGUUGAUUUGGCUGAUCUGGCUGGCUAGGUGGGUGUCUCCUUCCUCCCUCACCGCUCCAUGUGCGUCCCUCCCGAAGCUGCGCGCUUGGUGGAAGAGGAUGACCAUCCCAGAUAGAAGGCGUGUACCAUUCUUCAGUCAAGGGUAUAGGAUAGCUGCGCUCCCCUGCUAGAACCUCCAAACAGGCUCAAGAUUGUAGCUCUCACAAAACCAUUUAACGGCCAACAGAAGGUAGAAUCUUUUCGGGCAAUCUUUCCAAUGAAUCAGGAUUAUAAAAUAUGUACGUUAGUGCUAGUCAACAGGAUU
This is a non-coding RNA of Podarcis lilfordi (Lilford's wall lizard), 354 nucleotides long. NCBI's taxonomy places the organism in Eukaryota, Metazoa, Chordata, Lepidosauria, Squamata, Lacertidae. The record is from the annotation of a GenBank genome assembly.